Molecule: ribosomal RNA, 708 nt
Filed under: Herbaspirillum huttiense subsp. huttiense
Lineage: Bacteria; Pseudomonadati; Pseudomonadota; Betaproteobacteria; Burkholderiales; Oxalobacteraceae
Description: bacterial SSU rRNA
Rfam family: Bacterial small subunit ribosomal RNA
Source: RNAcentral
CCAUGCAGUCGACGGCAGCAUAGGAGCUUGCUCCUGAUGGCGAGUGGCGAACGGGUGAGUAAUAUAUCGGAACGUGCCCUAGAGUGGGGGAUAACUAGUCGAAAGACUAGCUAAUACCGCAUACGAUCUACGGAUGAAAGUGGGGGAUCGCAAGACCUCAUGCUCCUGGAGCGGCCGAUAUCUGAUUAGCUAGUUGGUGGGGUAAAAGCCUACCAAGGCAACGAUCAGUAGCUGGUCUGAGAGGACGACCAGCCACACUGGGACUGAGACACGGCCCAGACUCCUACGGGAGGCAGCAGUGGGGAAUUUUGGACAAUGGGGGCAACCCUGAUCCAGCAAUGCCGCGUGAGUGAAGAAGGCCUUCGGGUUGUAAAGCUCUUUUGUCAGGGAAGAAACGGUAGUAGCGAAUAACUAUUACUAAUGACGGUACCUGAAGAAUAAGCACCGGCUAACUACGUGCCAGCAGCCGCGGUAAUACGUAGGGUGCAAGCGUUAAUCGGAAUUACUGGGCGUAAAGCGUGCGCAGGCGGUUGUGUAAGUCAGAUGUGAAAUCCCCGGGCUCAACCUGGGAAUUGCAUUUGAGACUGCACGGCUAGAGUGUGUCAGAGGGGGGUAGAAUUCCACGUGUAGCAGUGAAAUGCGUAGAUAUGUGGAGGAAUACCGAUGGCGAAGGCAGCCCCCUGGGAUAACACUGACGCUCAUGCACGA